CCCCUCGUCUCUCUCCCCCCUCCCUUUCAUCCUCGUGCACCCACGAAAACCCUAGCUCACUUAUCCCCAUCGCCGCUGCCGCUCCCGCUCCCUUUUCCCCCGCCGCCGCCUGUCUCCUCCCAUCGUACUCCUCCUCUCUCGUCCUCGUCUCGUCACCGCCGCCACCUCCUCCCCGUCCCCGGCCUCCUUCCGCGGCGCGCGAUCCCCUCUCCCCUCCCCUCCCAAUCCCACCCACCGAACCGAUCCCGAUCCAGUCCAGAUCGAGAGAGAGCGAGCCCCCUCCCGCGAUUCCCACCGCCGCCACCCCCACCCACCGCCGCCGACCUCGUCUCCGCCACGCACCCUCUCCCCUAGCAUUCACCCCCCAGAUACACCAGUCCAGGCACGGCCAUGGCGUCGCGGCCGGCUUUCUUGCCGGCGCGCGCGUGCGUGCUUCACGCCGGCCACGGGCCUCCGGCAAUCAGGACAGCGACGAUGUCAACGGGAUCAUCGGGUCUCCGGCGGCUCGUGCCCCUCGCGCAACUGCUCCCCUCCUCCCCGCCCGCCCUGCACUCCAGAUCCGGCCCCGACGAAGCCAUGGUGAGUCCCGUCGCGGCGUCUGGCCACCCGGCGACAGCGGGGAUCCGCUGCUGCAGUGCCUCUGCGCGGGGACGUGGACGUGGACGGGGACGGGAUCGCGGGGAUCCGGAGCGAUCUGGCGGAGAUCGGGGGCAGGGUGAGGAGCAGCAUCUCCAUGCUGCAGAGCAACCAGGCCGUGGCGGAGGUCUCCAAGAUCGCGUCCUCGCUCCUGCCGUUCGGGGAGGAGGAGCCUGACAAAGGGGAGCCUGUCACCGGCGGAACCGAGGAGGUGUUGGUCUUCGUGAAGCACAUCUCGACGCGGCCUGAGACCUGGCUUGAUUUCCCCCUCUUCAUCAACGAGCGUUAUGCAGACGAGGUCCUAUCAUUAAUGCCUUCGAGGUCUAUACGUAUCUACCUAUUACUGCAGCAAAGCUUGUGAUCCUUGCUAACAAUUGCCUCCGCUCCGCAAGUUUGAGAUUGAGUAUUGUGCUAUGUUGGCGAAGGUCACUGUCCACCACUACCAUGGAAGUAAGUUUGCAUUCCUAUUUAAUCCAGUUUUUGUGUAGUGGUGAGUCUGUAAGAUGAUGUUCAUUUCUGCCCAUGAUAGUGCAAAACCCUUCCUACUUGGCUCACAGUCCUGUCUAUUACUUGUUGCUACUACUUUGUUGUGGAAGUAUUAGCCGUAAUUGCAGUAGAAAGCUAAUAAAUAGUUUGAAAUUUGUGAAUAAGAUGGUAAAGCAGUCAUAAUCAUGACUUUUUUGUUGUCUCAAUAAUAUGCUGUUCAAAAGUAACAGCGCCGAAUGUUUGAUUUCUAGACAAUGUUGAUAUGGGAAUUGCGUGUGGUAAAUACUUCCAAUUCUGCUGCCUGAGUAUCAUCGACCCUGGCGAUUCCGACAUCAUCAACGCAACACCAGCUUGCCAGAAACCUGUGUAUGCCAUUUUCAGUGUCUCAUCUGAUGUGUCAUAUGAGGUGUCUAGAGUGUGGUUCUUGCUGGACUUGAUUUUGUCUUGUGUACAUCAUUUAUCAGUCAAUCAAGUUUGAUGGGACUAUGGUUUUGGAUCAAAAGACUUGUGGUAACGAAGAGCAAGGCCGAGAAGGACUCCAACAAGCCCAAGCGCCCUCUGAGCGUCGUCUUAGUCCUCAUCUUCAGGAAGGACUCCAACAUCAAGCAUGUCUCCAUGGUUGGCAAGGGCGGUGGUGAGAAGUGGAAGUAUCUUGAGUGAUGUUGAGAAGGCUCCCUAAUUGCCAAGGCCAAGUACACUAAGAAGAUCGACACCUACAACAACCCACUGGCAGGAGAGGUGUCCGACAACUCAGACAAGUCCCAGUCUGAGGUGAGCAACGAUGACGACAAAAGCAAUGGGGACUUGUGAUGUGGCACGCAAAGCAGCAGCAGGGGGAGGGGGUCUCUGAAAUGUCGCCGCUUUCUCUCAUUGCUAGUGUCACCGAUUGAUGAUGGAUGGUUGCUGUUAGUUUAGCUCCUUAGUAGUACCUCCUAGUCUUUCAGGCGGCUACUGCUGGUAGCUAUAGUCUGUUCACCGAUUGAUGAUGGAUUUUUGAAUGUACUUACUGUUGUACCCGUGGCUGUUUAAGGAAUACUUUCGCGUUGAAAGAAAUAAAAUGGUCUUGAUACAUGC
RNA transcript from Triticum aestivum (bread wheat), 2196 nucleotides. RefSeq lists it as uncharacterized. NCBI's taxonomy places the organism in Eukaryota, Viridiplantae, Streptophyta, Magnoliopsida, Poales, Poaceae. The transcript is spliced from 10 exons. The record is from RefSeq and is a predicted model, not a curated record.